GACGAACGCUGGCGGCGUGCCUAAUACAUGCAAGUCGAACGCACUCUCGUUUAGAUUGAAGGAGCUUGCUCCUGAUUGAUAAACAUUUGAGUGAGUGGCGGACGGGUGAGUAACACGUGGGUAACCUGCCCUAAAGUGGGGGAUAACAUUUGGAAACAGAUGCUAAUACCGCAUAAAACCUAACACCGCAUGGUGUAGGGUUGAAAGAUGGUUUCGGCUAUCACUUUAGGAUGGACCCGCGGUGCAUUAGUUAGUUGGUGAGGUAAAGGCUCACCAAGACCGUGAUGCAUAGCCGACCUGAGAGGGUAAAUCGGCCACACUGGGACUGAGACACGGCCCAGACUCCUACGGGAGGCAGCAGUAGGGAAUCUUCCACAAUGGACGAAAGUCUGAUGGAGCAACGCCGCGUGAGUGAAGAAGGUUUCGGAUCGUAAAACUCUGUUGUUGGAGAAGAAUGUAUCUGAUAGUAACUGAUCAGGUAGUGACGGUAUCCAACCAG
RNAcentral lists this ribosomal RNA (499 nucleotides) under uncultured bacterium. RNAcentral's name for it is "bacterial SSU rRNA". It matches the Rfam family "Bacterial small subunit ribosomal RNA", at positions 28 to 486 of the family's 1533-position model. The record is from RNAcentral.